AUUCAAUUGUGUUUAGCUAUGCA
RNAcentral lists this unclassified non-coding RNA (23 nucleotides) under Mus musculus (house mouse). Its description in RNAcentral is "oocyte_clustered_small_RNA6117". Lineage: Eukaryota; Metazoa; Chordata; Mammalia; Rodentia; Muridae. The record is from RNAcentral.